Molecule: small nuclear RNA, 165 nt
Organism: Mustela putorius furo (domestic ferret)
Lineage: Eukaryota; Metazoa; Chordata; Mammalia; Carnivora; Mustelidae
Gene: U1
Rfam family: U1 spliceosomal RNA
About the family: U1 is a small nuclear RNA (snRNA) component of the spliceosome (involved in pre-mRNA splicing). Its 5' end forms complementary base pairs with the 5' splice junction, thus defining the 5' donor site of an intron.
Source: Ensembl
AUACUUACCUGGCAGGGGAGAUACCAUGAUCACGAAGGUGGUUUUCCCAGGGCGAGGCUUAUCCAUUGCACUCCGGAUGUGCUGACCCCUGCGAUUUCCCCAAAUGUGGGAAACUCGACUGCAUAAUUUGUGGUAGUGGGGGGACUGCGUUCGCGCUUUCCCCUA